Molecule: ribosomal RNA, 588 nt
Filed under: Brucella intermedia
Lineage: Bacteria; Pseudomonadati; Pseudomonadota; Alphaproteobacteria; Hyphomicrobiales; Brucellaceae
Description: bacterial SSU rRNA
Rfam family: Bacterial small subunit ribosomal RNA
Source: RNAcentral
ACAUGCAAGUCGAGCGCCCCGCAAGGGGAGCGGCAGACGGGUGAGUAACGCGUGGGAACGUACCAUUUGCUACGGAAUAACUCAGGGAAACUUGUGCUAAUACCGUAUGUGCCCGAAAGGGGAAAGAUUUAUCGGCAAAUGAUCGGCCCGCGUUGGAUUAGCUAGUUGGUGGGGUAAAGGCUCACCAAGGCGACGAUCCAUAGCUGGUCUGAGAGGAUGAUCAGCCACACUGGGACUGAGACACGGCCCAGACUCCUACGGGAGGCAGCAGUGGGGAAUAUUGGACAAUGGGCGCAAGCCUGAUCCAGCCAUGCCGCGUGAGUGAUGAAGGCCCUAGGGUUGUAAAGCUCUUUCACCGGUGAAGAUAAUGACGGUAACCGGAGAAGAAGCCCCGGCUAACUUCGUGCCAGCAGCCGCGGUAAUACGAAGGGGGCUAGCGUUGUUCGGAUUUACUGGGCGUAAAGCGCACGUAGGCGGGCUAAUAAGUCAGGGGUGAAAUCCCGGGGCUCAACCCCGGAACUGCCUUUGAUACUGUUAGUCUUGAGUAUGGUAGAGGUGAGUGGAAUUCCGAGUGUAGAGGUGAAAUUC